GUGGGGAAUAUUGCACAAUGGGGGAAACCCUGAUGCAGCGACGCCGCGUGAGUGAAGAAGUAUUUCGGUAUGUAAAGCUCUAUCAGCAGGGAAGAAAAUGACGGUACCUGACUAAGAAGCCCCGGCUAACUACGUGCCAGCAGCCGCGGUAAUACGUAGGGGGCAAGCGUUAUCCGGAUUUACUGGGUGUAAAGGGAGCGCAGGCGGUUCUGCAAGUCUGAUGUGAAAGCCCGGGGCUCAACCCCGGGACUGCAUUGGAAACUGUGGGACUUGAGUGUCGGAGGGGCAAGUGGAAUUCCUAGUGUAGCGGUGAAAUGCGUAGAUAUUAGGAGGAACACCAGUGGCGAAGGCGGCUUGCUGGACGACAACUGACGCUGAGGCUCGAAAGCGUGGGGAGCAAACAGGAUUAGAAACCCUUGUAGUCC
RNAcentral lists this ribosomal RNA (425 nucleotides) under uncultured bacterium. Its description in RNAcentral is "bacterial SSU rRNA". It matches the Rfam family "Bacterial small subunit ribosomal RNA", at positions 354 to 796 of the family's 1533-position model. The record is from RNAcentral.